RNAcentral lists this ribosomal RNA (496 nucleotides) under uncultured bacterium. RNAcentral's name for it is "bacterial SSU rRNA". It matches the Rfam family "Bacterial small subunit ribosomal RNA", at positions 10 to 523 of the family's 1533-position model. The record is from RNAcentral.
AGUUUGAUCCUGGCUCAGGAUGAACGCUGGCGGUAUGCUUAACACAUGCAAGUCGAACGCAGUCCUUCGGGGCUGAGUGGCGGACGGGUGAGUAACGCGUGAGAAUCUGCCUAAAGGACUGGGACAACAGCUGGAAACGGCUGCUAAUACCAGAUAUGCCAGAAAGUGAAAAGGGGUAACCCGCCUUUUGAUGAGCUCGCGUCUGAUUAGCUAGUUGGUAGGGUAAAGGCCUACCAAGGCACCGAUCAGUAACUGGUCUGAGAGGAUGACCAGUCACACUGGGACUGAGACACGGCCCAGACUCCUACGGGAGGCAGCAGUGGGGAAUAUUGCACAAUGGGCGCAAGCCUGAUGCAGCCAUGCCGCGUGUAUGAAGAAGGCCUUCGGGUUGUAAAGUACUUUCAGUCAGGAGGAAGGGUGUGAAAUUAAUACUUUCAUGCAUUGACGUUACUGACAGAAGAAGCACCCGCUAACUCCGUGCCAGCAGCCGCGGUAA